AUUCUUCUGAAGUUCCUAAGUGUGAGACUGGGUUUUCAUGCACAUGUGUGAGAUGUGCCUCC
This 62-nucleotide small nucleolar RNA is filed under the name Otolemur garnettii (small-eared galago). RNAcentral's name for it is "Small nucleolar RNA U13 (ENSOGAG00000022752.1)". It matches the Rfam family "Small nucleolar RNA U13", at positions 1 to 63 of the family's 104-position model. The record is from RNAcentral. Lineage: Eukaryota; Metazoa; Chordata; Mammalia; Primates; Galagidae.